RNAcentral lists this ribosomal RNA (164 nucleotides) under uncultured bacterium. Its description in RNAcentral is "partial 16S rRNA". It matches the Rfam family "Bacterial small subunit ribosomal RNA", at positions 355 to 511 of the family's 1533-position model. The record is from RNAcentral.
UGGGGAAUAUUGGACAAUGGGCGAAAGCCUGAUCCAGCCAUGCCGCGUGUGUGAAGAAGGUCUUCGGAUUGUAAAGCACUUUAAGUUGGGAGGAAGGGCAGUGAGCUAAUACCUUGCUGUUUUGACGUUACCGACAGAAUAAGCACCGGCUAACUCUGUGCCAG